This 60-nucleotide transfer RNA is filed under the name Plasmodium gonderi. RNAcentral's name for it is "tRNA-Ser". The record is from RNAcentral. Lineage: Eukaryota; Apicomplexa; Aconoidasida; Haemosporida; Plasmodiidae.
GACAGUUUGUCCGAGUGGUUAAGGAGGUUGACUCGAAAUCAACUGGGCUCUGCCCGCACA